UACGAGGGAUCCUAGCGUUGUUCGGAAUCAUUGGGCGUAAAGCGGGUGCAGGUGGCUUUGUAAGUCAGGUGUGAAAUCCCAAGGCUCAACCUUGGACGUGCAUUUGAUACUGCGAAGCUUGAGUGUAGGAGAGGCAAUUGGAAUUCCAGGUGUAGUGGUGAAAUACGUAGAUAUCUGGAGGAACACCGGUGGCGAAGGCGGAUUGCUGGCCUAACACUGACACUCAGACCCGAAAGUAUGGGGAUCAAACAGG
RNAcentral lists this ribosomal RNA (253 nucleotides) under uncultured bacterium. Its description in RNAcentral is "partial 16S ribosomal RNA". It matches the Rfam family "Bacterial small subunit ribosomal RNA", at positions 524 to 776 of the family's 1533-position model. The record is from RNAcentral.